RNAcentral lists this ribosomal RNA (253 nucleotides) under uncultured prokaryote. RNAcentral's name for it is "partial 16S ribosomal RNA". It matches the Rfam family "Bacterial small subunit ribosomal RNA", at positions 524 to 776 of the family's 1533-position model. The record is from RNAcentral.
UACAGAGGUCUCAAGCGUUGUUCGGAUUCAUUGGGCGUAAAGGGUGCGUAGGCGGCGCGGUAAGUCGGGUGUGAAAUCUCGGAGCUUAACUCCGAAACUGCAUUCGAUACUGCCGUGCUUGAGGACUGGAGAGGAGACUGGAAUUUACGGUGUAGCGGUGAAAUGCGUAGAUAUCGUAAGGAAGACCAGUGGCGAAGGCGACACGCUGGGCCGUACCUGACACUGAUGCGCGACAGCAUGGGGAGCAAACAGG